This 448-nucleotide ribosomal RNA is filed under the name uncultured bacterium. Its description in RNAcentral is "bacterial SSU rRNA". It matches the Rfam family "Bacterial small subunit ribosomal RNA", at positions 329 to 794 of the family's 1533-position model. The record is from RNAcentral.
GUCCAGACUCCUACGGGAGGCAGCAGUGGGGGAUAUUGCACAAUGGGGGAAACCCUGAUGCAGCGACGCCGCGUGGGUGAAGAAGCGCCUCGGCGCGUAAAGCCCUGUCAGCAGGGAAGAAAAUGACGGUACCUGUCGAAUAAGCCACGGCUAACUACGUGCCAGCAGCCGCGGUAAUACGUAGGUGGCAAGCGUUGUCCGGAUUUACUGGGUGUAAAGGGCGUGUAGCCGGGCUGACAAGUCAGAUGUGAAAUCCGGGGGCUCAACCCCCGAACUGCAUUUGAAACUGUUGGUCUUGAGUAUCGGAGAGGCAGGCGGAAUUCCUAGUGUAGCGGUGAAAUGCGUAGAUAUUAGGAGGAACACCAGUGGCGAAGGCGGCCUGCUGGACGACAACUGACGGUGAGGCGCGAAAGCGUGGGGAGCAAACAGGAUUAGAUACCCUAGUAUA